RNAcentral lists this long non-coding RNA (20917 nucleotides) under Eucalyptus grandis. Its description in RNAcentral is "long non-coding RNA (EGRA_LNC004163)". The record is from RNAcentral. Lineage: Eukaryota; Viridiplantae; Streptophyta; Magnoliopsida; Myrtales; Myrtaceae.
UGGCCUAUAUAAUUCCCGGGAGGAUCAUAGUUACAAGUCACCAAAGUACCGCCAGUCGCGCAUUGGGCCUUCGCGCAUCCAACCCGAACUGAGUUGCGCCACACCACCUGAGUGUAAUGCCCGCAGACCUUCCCAGGCGCGCAUGAGUUGGAAUUGUAGUUGUAGUCAGGCUUUUCCCCGACCCACAGGUUCACCGCUCUCGUGCCGGUGAGAUCAGGGGAAGCCCAAGCGAGGUUCUCUCCAUAGGGUCCGCCUGAAUGGACCAGCCGCGUGCAAUCCCUGGCGUGCUUUUGGGCGUAAUCCCUGGCAUAGCUAGCCACUCGCUCGUCCCAAGUGAUUGGGCCUACACCGACCUGGGAGCGGGCUGCAUUGUGGGCGGCGACGUAGUCUUGGGGAGAGUCUUGGGCGACAGACAGAGAGAUCAGCGCCAGGGUUAGAGCAACGAGGAAAAUGACAUGGAGAGGAACACUCCUACGGGAAUUCAUAUUGUAAGAGACCAUAAAAGUUGGCAGAGGAAAGAUCUUAGUGGGUUGAUGUAAGGGAUGGGCAAUAGCUAGGGAGUAUUUAUGUGGCGAUCAUGUGGAAAAAUCUGUCCAUUGGAAAAGUCAAAUAUUCGAAAUAGGUCACAAUGACUAGAAGAGUGCCCGUCAAAUUGAUCCAUCGCCAAUGUGAUAUUUUUCAUACUCUGUACAACGUUAAUUAUUGUACCCCGACAAUGACCUCGUCGUCUUCUUCUUAUUAUUUUUUCUUUUUUGUUUCAAUUUUAGCCAUAGAAAUAGUGAUGACAAAUAGUGACUUUGUACCAAGCCGACAAGUCUAUUGAUAACUUUGUACCAAGCCGAUAAGUCUGUUGAAGACACUAUGUGUAAGUCUAUUGAUGACAAAUAGGACUUUGUACCAAGCCGAUAAAUCUGUUGAAGACACUAUGUGUAAGUCUAUUGAUGACAAAUAGCGACUUUGUACCAAGCCGAUAAGUCUGUUGAAGACACUAUGUGAAGCAUAGGUCGACUUGGCAAGAAGCAAGAUUUUGACAGGGAUUUCAGCUGUAAUUUGGCCUGCGCCAGCACCUAGCCUGAAGAAUGCUUUAUUUUAAUGUGUCAGCGCUCGCCCGCCUUAUCCCCUCCUCAAUUCCCGAUAUGAGUUAUUUUUUCUUCCUUGUUGGGUCGAGUAUACGAGUUGAGAUUAGGGAAUCCCGCCCCGAUGGUCCUUUCCCCUCAUUUCUUUCCCUUGAUCCUUUACGUGAUCAUUGGAUGCCUUUAAACGCGGCUUAUCUUAAAACUCUUUUUCUCUCUUUCCACAAAAAUUGUCGUCUCUUGGGUAAAAGUUUUGUCCCCUACUUUUCACUGUUUCUUUUGGCGUUUUCUGCUAAAUUGGUUUCGCGUCUUAAGUCAAUUAUAAUUUGUGAGUAAAGCACCAAAAGCUGAAAGAUCGAGCUCAAGUAGUCAAGAUCGACGCAUUCACUCUUUUUUAUUUUGCUUUUUAUUUCCUAACUUGUGUUUCAAGAAAGCUGAACUUGAAAAUGUGAAACACAUGAGUAAGAUUUUUAUUUUGGAUUGUAAUUAGAAAUUCAAUAACUACUCCUGAAAACAUUAUAUAAUUUGACAAAGCAACUGUCGGUAAUUAGAAUUAUGAUGCCCAUUUAUUGAGGCUAAAGAAAUGUAAAAUAUACUAAGAGCAUGCAUUAAAUCCCCCCAUCCAUUCUUUGAGCGGUAGCGGCAAUAUUACACGUGAGUUCAUUCAUAUGACAAAUAUAGAGAAAAAAAACAAUUGAGUAUAAUGCGAUAAGGUACACGUAAGUUAAUUAACCUUGCUGAAACCCAUAAAAAAUGGGUUUCGGCAGGUGCCACCGUGCCAGGUCGCCCAAUGAAAAUUAUUGGCCCAACCACACGGGCUAUGUCUACUUUUUUUUUUUUAAUAAAAAAAGUGAGCUAAAUAAUAAAUAAAAUGGAAACAUAAAUAGAAAAUAAAUGAGUACUUUAUUAUAGAUGAAUUAUAAAAUAAUUUUCUUUUUCUAUUUUCAGCCUCCUUUCCUCUUCUAAUAUUUAUGAAUUUUUCUAUUUUAGAAUGAACAAAAGAAGUACGCUCAAUUUGAAAAAUAUGUGAGUUUCAAUAAAAUUAUAUUUUAUUUAUAACACAUCAUUAAUUUUAUUAUUUUUAAUUAUGAGGAAAUCAAAUGGAAUAAGAAAUUCUUGUUACUUUAAUAAUACCAAAAAAAUGAUAUUUAUCUCAAAUUCGCACUAUUUUUAAAGUAAAAGUAAGAUUAAAUUGUAAAAAAUAUAGAACAUCUGAAUUCUUUUUGAUUUUACUUUCUACUUUCAGAAUAUACUUAAUUUGAUAUAGUUUCCAUUAUUGUAAGUACAAUAUUGAGGCAUCAAGAUUCAUCUACUAGACCUAGCUAAAAUAUUUAACAAGACCUAGCCCUGCACCUUGGUGUGUGGUUAUAUAAAUUAUAAAUCAAAAUGAAGAAUAUGAAGUAUGAGAUGUUUAAGCAUAAAAAUGACCGAAAAUUCUAAAAAUUAUGCAUCAGUGUUUUGAAUAAUUAUAUCAUAUGUAUAAACUCACGAAUCUGAUAUCAUAAGCUAUUAUAUUCUUUAUAUUCUUUAUAAUGUCCUAGUCUUGGAUAUUUCCAUUGAUGUAGAGUGCUUGACUUGAGAAUCCAUUUCUAAAGAAGGUCGGAAAAUGAUCAAUUUGGACUAACCUAACUAUUUUGAUCUUCUUUCUCUACUUACGAACAUAUUCUUUGACAUUUAGUAUGAACAGUGAAUAACUCAAUACUCACUGCCAAAUGAAAAUAAAAAUAAAAAUUACAUGUAGGGUAAUCUCUAAAUAAAACUUUGUAUUUCAGAAAGUAACUAACCAAAUGCAAAAUAUGAAACUGGCACUGGUCGAUGAAACAAUUAGAGAAGCAUCGAAAGGGAUUUUUUUUCUUGAAGAAGAAGUUAUUGGAUGAAUCAGAUGCAUGCAUCUUGAACUUAUCUGGAACAUUGAAUAUGAUGGAUCCUACAUAUAAAGAAGGUGGGCCUUAUUACAUUAGAUAAUCUAGAAAUAUUUGGGUUCACACAAUUGAUGCAUGUAAUAACCUUUCUUCUCUAGAAGAGAGAAUCAAUGACACUUAAAAUAAACCCUCUCAAUAAGUAAGACAACUUUUACACAUCUAAUUGUUCCUCGUAUUGUUCGACCAACUAUUGCAUCCUCACCACGUCCCCAAAUUUUGGUGGAUAGAGGGCAUGUGCUUGUCCCCAAACCAUCAAUAUGUAUGUGUUAUCAAAAGCGGAUGAAGUUCCAAGGAAAUAAGAAAGUGAAAUUUAAGGAGUGGCAAGUAAAAGUCAAGAACAAUAUGCAGACUACUUCCAGAAUUUAGAGGGUUCAUGUAAUUUUCCCCAAAUUGAAAGUGGAGAUAAAUGAUAUAAAAUGUGGAAUAAGAGAUAAUUGUUGGGAGAUAAAUUAAUAGCCAAUCGUAAUGCUUGUACUAACUUGAACUGUCUUAUUUAAAAAUAAUGGGGCUUAUGUAUAUAGGUCCCACCUAGGACUCACUAAAUUCAAUGGUUAAUACCAUAAAAAAUUUCAAAUUGAUAUACCUGUGAUAAAUUUACUCUGAAUUAAUUUUUGACCAUCAAAAACCUCAAAUUGAUACAUUUCAUCCGUUAGUUUCUGCUAAAUUAGAUUAACACCAUGAAAAAUCAUAAAUUAGUACACUUAUGAUAAAUUGAGGGUAAAACUCCAAAUUAAUAUACUUGUCAACCGUCACGUGUAAUUCAACUCCAUAAUUUGAUAGUAAAAUUUAAUGGAGGGUAAAUUUGUUAUAAAUAUAUCAGUUUGAGUUUUUUGUAGUCAAAAAAUUAAUUUAUGAUAAAUUUGUCGCAUAUGUACUAAUUUGAGGUUUUUGGUUGUGUUAGCCCUAAAUUCAAUUUAAUACAUAAUUUACUGAAUAAUUUACUGAAUAGUUUUCGGUGGGAGAUAUCAUUGUCACUAUCGCUAUGAUCAUCACAUGGACUAUUUUCCACAUUCAAGGAGGCCAAAUCAAAGACGGAAAAGAACAGAAGAGAAAAAGAUAACAAAUCAAACCGCGGAAAUUCGUCCGGUGAUGCCGCCCUUCCCAUCAUGGCUUCUUUCUAUUUCUCCAAUCUCGUCGAAAAUGUUGACUUUUCUUUAUUCCCACGAAACCCUAGCAACCCUAGUUUCUCGUUCUGACCAUUUCUUGUCUUUAACUAUUCUUUAUUUUUCCGGAACCUUUUGAACUCCCGAAUCUGAUUGGCUUGAACCAAGAAUUUUCACUUUUAUAUUUUAAUAAGACCGUUAUAUCUUUGGAAUUUCAUAACAGAUUUGAAAUGUUAAAUUGCUUGUGAUCUCCGGCAAUCUAGCACGCAGACAAAUUGAGGUCCCAUACAUAGAAUCUGCGUCUCCUACACCUCCAGUAUUUCAUCUUUUAGGUUCUAUUGGGUAUGCUUUUUCUUUCCUUUUUUUGCCCUAAAUAUAGCAAGAAAACCACAAAUUACGACUCCAUGAAAUGUCAUACUAAUCUCAAUAAUCAAGUAAGAUACAGAUCAAAACACCGCAUGGGUAACGCAAACAUGAGAUUAUAUAAUGUCUUGCUUUUAAUCCACGUGCUCAUGCCUAUCCUUUACCACUAAGCUAUGACAAGAAUUGCAUGUAAUCUUCUUAUUCCUGAAAUAGUGGGUCUUCGUCGGUCGUGCCCAUAAAGCAAGUGGAAUACAUGUUGACCAAAUUUCGGGGACACUAAAAAAGUCCUUUUUUUUUUUUUUCUCUUGUUGUUGUUGCAGUGGCAUAGAGCUAUCCAUAAUAAGUUUUGAAAAAUUAUCAAAAAAAGUCCUAAACCUAUCAUAUGACAGCAAAUUUAAGCCUCAACUUUUUCAUUUCGUCAAUUCAAUCCUCAACUUUUUUUCAUUUAUUUUCCAGCCAAGGGUUAAAAUUUAGGGUUUUUGUCUAUAUAUAAUAAUCACGGUAAGAGAAAUAGAAAAACUUUUUGCGAGUGGCGUCAAUUAAGGCGUGAAGACCAGUUUGUAAGUUAGGUUAUUAUCUAUAUGAAGACACGUACGAUAAACAAGGCCGCUUAUAAAUUAUUUUUUUUUUCUUUAAUAGUUGUUAGUACUUCAUCAUAUAUUGAAUUUUAUUUUUCUUUUAUCGUGAAGAACUGGCUUAUGGCUUCUUUCAUGCAUGGCACCGUAUUCCAUGAAAGCGAAACCCCUCACAUGUUAAUUCACCGUCACAAGCGCUGAUUGCCAGCCGAAACUUAUGACCUUAUGAUAAUAUAUACCAUGCUAUGCACCUGGAAUUAAUCAAUUGACAUUAGCAUUGCUCUACUUUCCACUCUGAAACCGAACCAGCCGAAACUUAUGCUACGCACCCUGGGAUUAAUCAAUUGACAUUAGCAUUGCUAUGCUUUCGACUCUGAAACCGAUGCUUGUGGGUAUGAUUCCUAUCUCAGAGAACUUGGAUUUAAGUUGGAGUCCAUAAAGGUGGAUUGAGUUCCUUAAGCCGGCUAAGUACGGUCAUGCUUCUGUAUUAUUUUAAAAGAAGAAAAAAGUGACGCCCGUCUAGGUCUUUAUUUUACUCGAUAGGUACACAUCUAUCUAUAUCUAUAUACAUAAGUCAAACCACGCUUUGUCUCACUUUUAGAAUCCCUAAAUUACCUUACCUUCUUUGUCUCAUACCCACUCAUUUCAUAAAUAACAAUCUGAUUUCUUUUGUGCUUCUGUAUUAUUUUAAAAGAAGAAAAAAGUGACGCCCGUCUAGGUCUUUAUUUUACUCGAUAGAUACACAUCUAUCUAUAUCUAUAUACAUAAGUCAAACCACGCUUUGUCUCACUUUUAGAAUCCCUAAAUUACCUUACCUUCUUUGUCUCAUACCCACUCAUUUCAUAAAUAACAAUCUGAUUUCUUUUGUCUCGUCAUAAUUUUAGACUUCUUUAUUACCUUUGUUUUCUUUUUCUUAUACUCACCUGCUUUAUAUAUAACCACUUUUUCUUUCUAUGCAUAAUUCCUAUGACCCUAGUAUAUAACGGUGAUCUGAAUGACUUGCUGUUUCCAUUCAAGCGAAGUGAUUGUCAUUUAUAGUAAUUUAAAGAUAUUUAAAGUAAAACAGCGAAGUGACUUGCUGUUCCUGUGCCCAGAGAUACGCCGGCAUGCGCACAGCCAGUGGCUGCGCCCUGGAGCACUCGAUGGGCCGAUUCGGCGAGAAGCUGGCGGAGGGCAUGGCGAACUGAGCAGUGAAGAUGCUGUCAAGAUGUGGGUGAGCGAGAGGGCCAACUACGACCAUCACUCCAAUGCUUGUGUCGGCGGUGAGUGCUUGCAUUACACACAGGUCAUGUGGAGGAGCUCGAUUCAUCUAGGGGGUGCUAGGGUUAAGUGUAGCAACAGGUGGUAAUUCGUGACUUGUAAUUAUGAUCCUCCGGGGAAUUUCGAAGGUUAACAUCCCUACUAAUUUACUAAUCAUGAGUGUACUUUUCAUGUGCAUUGGUGACAUAUGAUCAAUGUGUACUGGAGACGCUAGCUAGGAGUUUCCAAGUUGAAAUAGAAUAUUAAUGGAUUAUUAUAUGUAGUUUACUUUCCUUACUUAUGGAGGAUUCAUGUGGAUUUAUCGUUGCCUUCUUUCUAAAGGUGUAAUGCCGUCUAUAUCUAGGCCUCUGUGCACUCUUACCUUUGAUUAUAAAAGCGUUAUGAUCGAAUAAAUGAUUGGGGAAAAUGAUUAUAAAAACAUCACUACCGUCAUAAAGCCAUGAUAGUGUACCUUGGCUUCCUGCUAAACUUGAUUGGGUCAAGACGAUUGGGUGAGUCUGAAGGCAAAUGGUGUAAUUCAGAUCCAACAUCAGCCAAAAUUGAUGGGUUCAAGGUGGAGAUUCGAGUUGAGAUAACAUUGGUGAGGAAGGAAAACCUGGAUGAAAAGAGACAAUGGAUCUCACAUAGGAGGUUCACAUGUGUGAAGGAGAUUUAAUGAAGUGCAUUCAUGGGGAGUUAGGCAUAAAAAGUCUCACAUUAAGAAUAUGCUAUGCGGUGAAUCAUAUUAAUAUAUCCAAGUUGAGAUUCAUUCAUAAGCUUGGAUUUGAGCUCUUUCUCGGUGAUUUCCCCAAAUGUAGAUAUCAAGUUUGUGUCGUGUGGUCCUAACAUUCAAGAUUUCUAAAGCUUUGCAUUAGUCAUUUCAUCCUCCUAGUCAUGUAUAACAACGUCGUCUCGAUUCCCACGAUUGACCUGUGAGCAAUAAACUCAUAAAUUGGAAUUCAUUAAACUCAAAUUGCGGUGUGAUCGCGUGUCUAAUUUUUUUUUUGAACAACGUAAUUUGAGACAAAAUGAAGGGUGCGAUUGUUUCAUGGAAAACUUAAUGAUAAAGGAAAAUGCUUUCCGGGAAAGCAUUUUCCAAGAAUACGGUUUGUUUUCCUUUGUUUGGCAAUGUAUAAUUGAAAAUGUUUUCUGCCGUUUGUAUCCCAUUAAAAAAUAAUCACACGUCAUCACAGGAAAAAAAAUGAAGAAGCAAAAACUCACUGGCCAUCCUUGUGGCCUGUGACAGGUGAAGAAGAAGUAAAAAGAAAAAGAAGCAAAUUCGAAAUUUUUAUUUUUAUUUUAAAAAAAUUUCCAAAUUUUAUUUUUUUAAAAAAUAAAAAAUUCAAAUUCAAUUUUUUUUAAAAUAUAUUUUUAUAAGAAUAAUUGUUUGUAAACCAAGCAUCAAAUCUAAACUUUGAUAGAUUCGGAAAACGUUUUCUGGUCAUUUCAAAUGGAAAAUCAUUUUCCUGAAUUUAAGCUUUGCGAGUAAAACAUUUUCCGUUGACUAGGAAAACGUUUUCCAUUGAUUCAUUUUCCUAAGCCACCCAAACGCCGGAAAAUGAGGAAAAUUUUUUUCCACAAAAAUGUAUUCCACGAAAUAAACGCACCCGAAUAUAUCUUUCAGGUCGUUAUCCAAGCAUCCAGAUCCUUGCGGGAAAGAAUAUUCUAGCUAUGAGUCUAUGACCUUUCAAAGUACUAUAAUGGGCUGCCAUGGAUAAAAGGGACUGACAUCGAACGCAAAGUUAGUCAAGUUUGACUAGCGCUAUUGAGACCUAGUUGAUUAAUUAGGGAUAAUAUCACUUACUCGGUCAACUAAAGGAGUCCAAUUCAUCAAUUUAUAGUAAAUAUCGACGGAUAUACCACUAAUUCCAACAUUAUUCGCAUUUUAAUCUUUUUGCCGUGGAUGUAUCAUCGAUUCUAUAAAAUAUAAAUCUUAUAAGCUUAGCGAAUGGAAUGUAUCCUUAUAUGGUUGAGACGGCCAUUGCUAUGUACCAAAAUUAAUUGAAAGAGCUAAUGAAAUGAACUCGAGAGCGAAAUGCGCCAUAUAGAUAAUACACAGCUUCUCUUUCGCAGUGUUAAGGGCUUGGAUCGUGAUGUGCUUGAGAGAAGGGAGCUGAGGAGAUUUGAUCAAGGAUCGAAAUUCCUUCACUUAAAAAAUAGAAAAUUGAGAGAGAGAGAUAAUUAUUGAAAGAGAUUAACUUAAUCGGCAAAUAGAUUUGCCUUCAUCAUUCACAUGACUUUAUUGAAUUUUGAUGCGUAUAAAGCUCUUGCCUCAUCCUAAUGGGGCAUUAUUUUGACAUGAUUAUUCAUCAUCCAACAUACAAGUUCUUUUUCAAUAAGGCUUUUGGCCUACAUAGUUGCCGGGAGGAUCAUAGUUACAAGUGACCAAAGUACCGCCCGUUGCACACUUGGCCUUCGCACAUCCAAGCCGGACCGAGUUGCGCCACACCACUUGAGUGUAAUGCCCGCAGACCUUUCCUGACGCGCACGAGUUGGAAUUGUAGUUGUAGUACGGCUUCUCCCCAACCCACAUGUUCACCGCUCUCGUGCCGGUGAGAUCAGGGGAAGCCCACGCGAGAUUCUCCCCAUAGGGUCCGGCUGAGUGAACCAGCCGCGUGCAAUCCCUGGCGUGCUUUUGAGCAUAAUCCCUGGCAUAGCCGGCAACGCGCUCGUCCCAAGUGAUUUGGCCGACACCGACCUGAGAGCGGGCCGCGUUGUGGGCGGCGACGUAGUCUUGGGGAGAGUCCUGGGCGAUGGACAGAGGGAUCAGCGCCAGGGCUAGUGCGACGAGGAAAAUGAUAUGGAGAGGAACACUCAUACGGGAACUCAUAUUGAGAGAGACCUUAAAGGUUGGCAAAGGAAGGUCUUAGUUGAUUGAUGAAGAGAUAGGCAAUAGCUAAGGGGGUAUUUAUAUGGUGAUCACGUGGAAAAUCUGUCCAUUUGGAAAAGUCAAAUGUUCAAAAUGGGCGACCAUGACUAAAAGAGUGCCCGUCGAAUUGAUUGAUGAUAAUGUGAUAAUUUUCAUAUUUUUAUUUUCUCUUGAAAAUAAUAAUAUUUUCUAGAAAUAUUGAGGACAGAUAUUGGACAACGUUAAUUAUUGUACCAUUGAUGAUGACUUCGUCUUCUUCUUGUUAUUGUUUUUCUUUCCUUUUUAUUUCAAUUUUAGCGAUAGGAAUAUUGAGGACAAAUAGCGACUCCAUCGAUUCUUUACAUGAUCAUUGGACGCCUUAAAAGGUGACUUAUCUUGAAACUCUUUUCUCUCUUUCCACAAAAAUUGUCGUCUCUUGGGUAAUAGUUUUUCUCCCCCACCUUUGACUGUUUCUUUUGGCGCUUUAUGAUAAAUUGGUUUCGCGUCUAAGUCACUUAUAAUUAACCAAUAGCUGAAAGAUCAAUCUCAAGUAGUCAAGCUUGAUGCAUUCUCUAUUUUUUUUUUUUUUUUGCCUUAACUUGUGUUUGCACGAAAAUGAUUUUGAAAAAUGUUAAACACGUGAAUAAGAUUUUCAUUUCAGGUUAUAAUUAGAAAUUCAAUAAUAACUCUCGAAAACAUUAUUUAGUUUGACAAAGUAACAAUUGGUAAUUGGAAUUAUGGUGCCUAGUUAUUGAGGCUAGAGAAAUGUAAAGUACACUAAGAGCAUGCAUCAAAUCCUCCCAUCCAUCCUUUGAGCCAAUAGUGGCACUAUUGCAUGUAAGUUCGUUCAUAUGACAAAUAUAGAGAAAAAUAUUCUGAGUAUAAUUACAAUAAGGUACGCAUAAUUCGAUAUCAUCAUUGGAUAGGUUCGGUUCAAAUUUAUAGGAGCCUUGCUCAAACCCAAACUAAUGAGUUUUGGCAAGUGCUAGGCUCAAACAAUAAAAACUAUUGGCCCAACCACAUGGGCUAUGUUUGCUUUUUUCAACAAAAUAAUUGAGCUAAAUAAUAAAUAGAAUGGAAACAUAAAUAGAAAAUAAUUUCUUGUGGUACUUUACUUUAGAUGAGUCAUAAAUACUUUUCUUUUCUUUUUAAGCCACAUUUUCUCUUCUAAAGCAAACCAAUAAGAAUUAAAGCGCGAUUGUGCCAGCCCAAUCCCCUUGUGGUCAAAACUAUUAUAGAAGGAAAGGCGUGCCGCGGUGCCACUUUACCAUUCCGCAAAGUGGAAUUCUUCUCCUAAUAAUUCUUGCUUUGUAAAAUGUAUUCCCCUAGAUCGAAGGUAAUUAAAAAUUCUAAGAAAAAAAGAAAGAAAUUGAAAUAUUUAUUAAUGACUUGUUCUCCUUCUGCAGAGCGGUAACUUUUCCAUGUUUUACAUGUCCCGUUGUUCACACCGUCUGCAAAUGGCUAAUGUAUAUAGAAAUUGUUCGUUCUGCACACUCAAAUACAAAUAUCAGUAAACUUAGAUUAUUUCAUUAUCUCAAACAUCGUGGGAGAUUUUAUAAGAAAAUACACAACAUGGUUUUGUUAGAUGGGCCAUAUUCGACUAAUAAGCGUUUAGAUGAGUGAUUUAUCAUCUUCCAAUUUAUAUCCUUCAUAUUUUUACCUCUUAUUAAGUCUAAACUUGAGAAACGUAUGAAUUAGAGGAAGUUUGAUAUAGAAGAUAGUUCAUGAGCUUUAUUUUUUGUAAUAUAACAACCAAUCUAAUAAAUAGAUAAAGAUAUAGUAUUUUUAACAAAAAUAUAAAACAGUGAGUUUACGUAAAUCCUAUUGGGAUUUCAAGUACAUCCUACUUCAUUACAUAAUAAAUCUGACAAAUAUAAAGAAAAAGAAAACUCAUUUAGUUAAAACAUCACUGUUCAGAAUUUGUAGUAUUAUCUUAUUACCUGGAUAUAUUUCACUUACUUUAAAUGUAUUUAAAUAAAAGUGAAAUAGAAAGAAUAGCUUAUACCAAUAAUUGAAUAAGUUCCACUCUACUGAUGUUUGUUAUUGAUAAACAUAUUUUGUUCGUUAAAGUAUAACUGAUUCUAUUUGAGUAAUUUGACUUAGCAUAUAAAAAUAAUUAGAGUGAACAAAAUAAAUCCACUUGGUUUAAAAAUAUAUGAAUUUUAAUAAAAUUAUAUUUCAUUUAUAACACAUCAUUCAGUUUAUUAUUUUUAAUUAUUGUGAAAUUUAAAUCGAGUAAAAAAUUCCUGUUACUUUAAAUACAUAUAAAAUUACUAUUUAUCUUGAAUUCGCAAUAUUUCAACGUAAAAAAAGAUUAAAUUGCAACUCAUUUUAAAUAUAGAAAGAAAUCUGGAUUAAAAAGAUUAUGUUACAAGUGAUGGGGCGGUAGCGGUGCCAUAGGGCCUUCUCGAGGAAGAAAAAGAAGGAAAAGGAAAUAAAAAAAUGAAAGAAACGAAAGAAAUAGGAAAAAAGGGGAAAAGGAAAAAAAAUGAUAAGAGCACAUCUAAGUGAUUGAAUGUUCAAAGUGCUUAUAUAUUCUUAUCUGAAGGGAGAGUAAAUUGGAAACGUAAACUCAUCUCCAUAAACGGAGAAGCACCCAGAAAAAUAUACUAGCAUCAAAUAAUAAUUAACCUGAUCAAAGCUGGUGCCAAAUAAAAAAAAAAAAAAAAUCCUAAGGAACAAACUUAUAGGUACUAAAAAGUCCUACUAAAACACUUUUUUUUAUACCAUGACGUGGUAAUUUCCUAACAGUUAUGGAAAGAAACUAUAAUGAUUCAAUGCAUGAGUCUCGCUCAUUUUAUACCCAAUUGUAAAUGGCCAUAUUACUUAUUAAAUAUGUUCUAGCAAAGUUCUUAUUAGAUUUUCUAUAUGAACACUCGGUACUUUUAUUAUCUAAUGAAAUUUGUAUUUUUUUUCACGUGAAAGAAUGACUUUUGGCUUCUUUCAUGCACGGCACCGUAUUUAUCAGCCGAAGUUUAUGAUGAUACACACCCACCUAUGGUUUAUCCAUUAAAAAUGGCAUUUCCAUACUUUCGGUUUAAGAAGCGAUGGUUGUGGAUUUGAUUCUUAUCCCGGGAAAUUCAGAUUUACUUUGCUUGCUCUUAAUUUUACUAUAAAAACAAAAAAGAGAAAUGUCAAAUCCUAAGUUUGUUUUAUAAUUUGGUACUAUAUGUCAUGUGGCAUAUUUUUAUUAAUUAUUGAAUAAUAUUUACUGUACACUUAUAGUCUGCCACUUGAUUUGGUAUAUUAAUAUUAAUAGAUAACAUAGCCUUGCCCAACAAGAAAUACCUUUAAAAAGUUGAGAAGAGAGAGCAAUAUUUAAGGUAAUAACAAAGAAGGGCAGGGGACGUAGCGCGAUGUAUAUAAACAAUUACUCAAACAAAAAGGAUAUUGUAAGUUCAUAGCAUGCACCAUAGACUCUUAAUUUGAGAGAACAAAAAAAUUAAUUUUAUCAAGAAAAUAUCAAGAUCAUUUCGCUUUUUUUUUUUCAUGGAAAAAAAUUAGCACAGAAAUCCACUGCCCUAGCCGCCCGCUUGAAUUGUAUUGCGCAAGGAGGAACUGGAAUGAUUAUCAUUCAUUUUUGUGCCGAAAGUAUGAGAAACGCCCUUAUCACUUGGUGAAUCCUAGGUGGGUUAUUAAGAAAAUCAUUUUAAUGGAAAACGAUCAAAUUUUCGUAUAUGGUUGGACUUUUAAAAAGGAGUUGAAAAUCAUUACCUAAUAUUUGUUAUCAAUUUGCUCUUAAACCUUUUUGGACGAAUGGGCUCGGAUUCAAGAGGAGAAAUCUAGCGUUUGCUUGCAUAAAAAUGUUUGAUCUAGAAUUACUUAUCUAUAUAUAAUGAUGGACUUGUUUUGUCAAUUAAUACCCCAUGUCACUUUAGGUGAGGAAGAAAAGGAAUAAACAUUGGGUAUGUUUGUUCAUGGAAAAUGAGUGAUCUAAAAAAUAUUUUAUGAAAAAUGAUCGCUUUUAUUGUCUAGAAAAAUAAAUGAAUAGAAAUUUUUUUCUUUGCCCAUGAAAAUAAUUAGGCAUAGAUUGCUAUUGAUGAUGGAAAUUUUUUUCGCUAACUAAUUUUUCUAAACGAUAUAAGCAAUUAAAUUUCGAAAAAUAUUUUUCAAAUCACUUAUUUUACAUGAAAUGAACACACCUUUGGUUCUUCUUUUCAAAAUAUACAAACAAAGCUGUUUUCCUCCAUCAUAUCCUAUUAUUUUAUUGAACAAGCAAUGGAUUCACAAGUCCAUGACCGAACAUUCCGUCAAAUGCUCUUGAUUUUGCAUAAAGAAAAAGAGACAUGGCUCAUGGGAUGCUCUUGAUUUACAUGUGGCUCAUGACUAAUCCAUGCAUCAGAUCCACCGCUAAAGAGAUAUAUCAGAUUUUAUACAAGUCCAUUUAGUCGAAAUAUAGAGUUUGAUGUAUAGAUUGAGGGCAGUGAAGUAUCCUGUUUGUGUUUUUUCCAAUUAGAGAGAAGAGGACCGAGGCACAUUGAUCUGAUUUCAGAAAAAAAGAAAAAAAAGAAAAAAAAAGGAUUGAAGGCUGACAAGUGAAAUGUCGAUUGAUCGCAUUUAUGUAUUUUUAUGUAAGAGGUCGACACCUUCUUUAUAUAACGUUCUAUAUGUAUAAUGAAUCGGUUAUGUUAAUUUGCAUUCGUCCUAUGUGGUAUCGAUUAUUUAUAUGUUCUGAACACAAAUUGAUACUUGUGAAUUAGUCAAAACUAAGUAGGGGUGGGCACGGUUUCGACGGGUGGGCUUCAAUGCUUUUUUCUUUUGCCCAGCCCGAACAUGUGGGUGUGGAACUUCUAAUUCCGGUUAGCAGGGCCAGCUCAUUUUUUUUUUUUCAAAAGACCAUACCGAACUAGACUAGGCAACCGACCAAAAGAAAACUAGAGUAGGCUGGUUCAGGCCUAGCCCAACUUUUUUUGUUGGUUUUAAAUGAAAAAGAGAUGAGCUACUAUAUUUUGGACCUCAAAAAUCACUUCUUUUAUAUGUUUAGAUAUUUUAACUUAGUUAUGAGUUUGUUACGUUGUAUUGAGUAGAAUUGACGUGUCUUGUAUUGGGAAAAGUGUCAGAAAAAUCCUAAUUUCAUUACAUUGGUACCAAUUUAAUCUUAAAUAUUUUAAUUGCGUUGAUUUAGUUCUAAAUAUGUUAACCCAAUGCCAAUUUAGUCCUUAGUUUCUUUAGCUAAAUUUGACUAGAUAUUGCUAACGUGGACUUUGGUCGACUUAUUUGGCAUGGUUAAUAUUGAUGUUGAUAAUUUUUAAUAAUAUAUUUUUUUUAAUUUGUAUUCUUUUAUUUAUCUCUUCUUUCCAUUCCUUCUUCCUUUAGCCAAUCACUAAACCAACGACCAGCUAGAGGUGAGGGCUAGCAAGGAUCAACCCUUUCUAAACAUUGUAAGGUCACGGCCUUCAAACUUGCAACCUUUGGCAAGGACCCUCACCAAAUCUACCGAGGUCGACCGUCAUUCAUUACGGGUGCCUGGCUCCUAGUUCGAUCCGAUUCCAAGGUGGAACUGAGACUAGACUGCAUCAUUGGUCCGAUCCAAUCUAAUAGAACCGGUCACUUAUUUUUUCCAAUAGUUUUCCCCAUUAUUUUUUUCCUACUACUUAAAACUGGAUCGAGAUAGUGUUUUGUUCACAUUAUACUCUUUUUUUUUUUGAAGAAAUAAUACAAUAAAAAGUAUAUUUAGUUGUUCCAAUCCGAUUCCUCCUUGGAAUCGAGAACUAGAUUGCUUGGACACCAGUUCCAUUUUUAUAAACCAGGAAUCGGACCAACACUCUUGGGAACAAGAUUAAACUAGUUGGUCUGGUUCAGUCUAACCAGUUUUCUAUUCAGGCAGUUCAUUUUAUACAUUCCUAUCUAUUAUUUCAUUAGAUUCAAUGGGGGUGAGCCUUAAUAUAGGUUAGGUGAUGUUGCCGGAUUUGGCAAGGCUAGCCAAAUGCUGGGAAGGUCCCCGGAGGAAGAAGAAAUAAAGAAAUAAAGAAAUAAAAAAUUUGAAAAAUAUCAAAAUAUUAUUAAAAGUGGUCAACGUUAGCGCCGAUUAUGCCAUAUAUGCCGAUUGGUGUCCACGUUAGCAAUCUUUGGCAAACAAAUAGUCGGAAUAAUUGAAUUGAUUAAAUUAAAAGAUUUAGGAUUGAAUUGAUAUUACUAAAAAAUUUAGAACUAAAUUGGCAUGACCAUAAUAUGUUUAAGACUUUUUUGACACAUUUCCCGUCUUUCACUAUUAAUAUCAUACACUUUAUUAAUACUUUUUAAAUUUUUUUUUUUAAAAGGUAGUUUGGGCCAAAUUGGGCCAUUUGGAGGUUGAGAUAUGGCCUGGCUCUGCUUGAGAAAAGGGGAGCUAGACUAGAACUAAUGGGCCUGAAAAUAUGGGUUAGUGCAGUUUGGGCCUAUUUGGGCUUUCGCUCUUUUUUGUUCCCCUCUUAGAGGUAAGUGCCACGUGGGACAAAGUGCUACACUGUGAAAACCACCUUUUGAAUCCUGUAAGAGCAAAGUGGUACAUGGUGGAAAUCAUUCCCUAAACCCAUGUAGGCUACCUUUAGAAUCCUUCACUUGUGAGCAGUUGGAGUAUGUCAGCAGGAUUGACUACACGGAAUGCAUUAUCGAAUGUCAUUUGUGUGAUCUACAAUUAUUAAACCUUCUAAUCCUUAGAAGAUGUGGUCAAGUACUUGCUCAAUUGGUGAUAUGCUUCCUCAACAUUGAGGCUGACUUACUAAGAGCGUUGCAUGCUAGAACCAUACUAUCCUCAAAAUUUGACACCUAGUCACAUGUCAUAGUCUAUUUGAGAUACCAUGAGAUUGUAAUAAUAGGAAUAAGAUGGUUUGAUUUUGCGGUUGCACCAUGAAGAUAUGAUAUUUGACAAACAUUUAAAAAGUAGCUCAUAUUUACGUAAAUUACGUAAAUGCCGAAGAAAUUGUUCCUACCACAUGAAAAAGUAAGUAUAAUAUAAAGUAUACCUACCACAUUAAGUGAUAAAAUGACAAUCGAGCGUUACUUAAUAAUAGUCAUACUGUUUUAUUUCCUAUUUCUCUAUCCAUUUAAAAUUAAACUUAAACCAAAAAAAUACUGAAAAAUAAAAAAGAUAGCAUAUUUAUAAAGAAAUCCAUAAGUUGCAGCUAUUUUAUAUACGACUUCUCAUAUUUCCUUGUGGUUUAAUAUUACAUAUUGUUUUAUAUAUAUGAUCUUGGUAAUGAUUAUAAAACAAAAAGGCAGUCUAGAGUUUUAACUUGGUCAUCAUAAACGUUGAACUAAAUUUUCAUCAAAAGAAUAUGCUGAAUAUUCGUAUUUUAAGAUAAAGGUAAACUCCCCAAUGCUAGUAGUUUUCAAAUUCUCUAUCCUAUUUUUCCCUCAUUCGUCCGUUUUAACCAAAUUUUAAUUUUGGAAACUUACAUGCUGCCUUUUAUUAACUUUGAGCAUGUUCCUUAUUUUUGUAUGUUGAAAUUCAUGAACAAAUUUCUUUUAAAGUGUUUGUGCAUAGGUCCAACACAUUCAUAAAAAUAACAUAAGUGAAAAAAUUCUUGAUAUCAUAAGUGACUACAAUUAUGUGCCAAUUUUGAUGAACAUAACAUGUGAAAGUACCGAUAUAUGCUGUUAAUAAAAUGUAUCCAAGUAUGCACGCAGGUUUUGUAACUAGUUAAAAAAGAAAGGGCAAAAGUUAGGGGUAAAUGGUGUCAAUUUCAUCCAGCUUCCAUUUAAAACUAGGAACCAACCUAUUAAAAUAGGUUUUCUAAUUUUGGAACUUGCAACCUGAUGUAGCUAGCAAGAAUUACAUAGAGGAAGAGAAAAAGGGGGGGGGGGGGGGUUGGGGGUGUGAAUAGUUGAUUUAAUAAAAAAUUGACAAACUAAAGCGAAAAUAGAAAAAAAAAGUCAAGAACUAAGUUUGAACUUAUAGCGCAAAGUCCAUAUUUUGGAAUAACGUUCAGAAAUAGUUUGCGAUAGAAUGAACUUCUGAAGCAGCUCGCAAGUAUGCAAUAAACUAUAGCAAUAACUAAUAAAAGUUUAAGGAUAAAAGGAAUUUGCACAUAAAGCUUAUAGUAGUUUGGCUUAGAUUCAGUCCACAUCUACUUUCUAAUGCUGAUAACCUUCUGGCUGGAUUCUAUUAGAUGAUCAAUAAGAGAUUACAAUAUUGAGUGAUCACAUUUAGUGUAUGAUAGGUCACACUAUCUCAUUCAAUCACACUUUUUGUGCUUCUCUUACGAUCACAAAAUUGAAGCUCAUGAAAUACAAGUGUAUGGUCGAAAUACGCUCAGACUUUGAAAUUUUAGAUUUUGGCCUUUGUCUCUUAGAUGCUCUUUGGCACCUUGGUCUCCUUAUAUACUCAUUCACUUCCCAAUUAGCUGUUGAACAGUCUCUAGAGGAUCAUCUCCCAAUCUAUCCAUUGGACAUAUGUAUUAAGAAAAUUAAGUAGCUGUUGAGUGACAAAAGUUGAAUCUCCACUUGAUUUUGGUCAUCCAUAUAACUAGUAUGGAUUUCCAUAAGUAAAGCUUCUUGAUUUAGAAAAAAACUUUUUUCAAGAUUUAUUUUCCAAUUAAAUAAGAUUGAGUUAAUCAAAUCUUUUUAGGUGUGAAAUCCAAGCUAGAUCAUUAGCUGUUAUAGUACGUUUUAAUUUGGUGUCACGUUUUGAAGUUAUGUCUCGUUCUGAAGUUUUGUUAGGAUGGGAACAUAAAUGAUUCUCUCAGUUUGAAGAUCUUUAUAACUUCAAUAUAAAGUCCGAACCUAUUCCAUCUAAAGUAGAUUCUACAAUUUGGACUUGAAUUUGAAUAAGAUUAAGAUUGCUACUAACUUUUCUUUCAAGAGUAAUUCCCUAAAUCAAAAUACUUCAAAACAUAUAUCUAACUUACAAGAAUUUCACGGACAGUUUUGCCAAUUUUAAAAUUUAUUAGAAAGUUUUCUCAACAGAACCUACCCUUGCAUACUUAAGAACCUAGAACCUAUUAUGUCAUAGGUUCUAGGGUCGGUUCCAUGAAUUGUAACGAAUAAUGGUAAUUAGAUGUGAUAAUUCAUUGCAAUCGUUCAAUUAAAAAUAUAUAUAUGUAAUCUUGGUAGACCAUGGAACCGACCCUAGUAAUACAUUGACCUUCCAUUAAAGUCUUGUUAGUGAGAAUCAUUAACAAUCUAUCUAUAUUGAUGUCAGAAAGAAAACAAUGUUAAUAUGGCACCCAUAUGUCCUAAGUGAAAUAAAAAUGAUGUUAUUUUGUUUGAAAAAUCAUUUAACGGAAUUUUGAUGGAGGGUGAAUGUAUCACAUAAGUACAAGUUUGGGGGUUUUUUUUUUUUUUCAUGUCAAAAUUUUUUUAAAGGUAAAUGUAUAACAUUAUGCAUAGGGUUUUUAAUAUCACAAAAAAGUAUAAAAUAAAUGUAUCACAGUGGGCGUAGUUUUUUUUUUUUUGGGCUCUUUCUUUCAAAAAAAAGAAAUCAAAGCAUCUAGUCUCAGUGAGUGAUUUCCACUCAACUAGAAACAUUGUUCCAACAAUCAAAAUUGCUCGUUGCUAAAGGUUGAUGAACUUGGCUCCCUCAUGACUAGAGCUGGGCUGUCACGGCUCAACUUCCGUAAAAAAAAAAAAAAAAUCAAAUAAAAGAAUAUAUCUAUUGAGAUUUUUUUUUUUAAAUUUCCUUUACCAUAUAAAAACAAAAAUACACAAUCGUGUAAAUUGUUUUCCACCUCGCUACACAUCCUCGAUAUGGGACUUUUUUCGUCUAACACAACAUUGACCAUAUUUGCGUUAAUAUUUUAUUGGAAAUUUUUUUCUAAAUCACUCUAAUGACUUUAGCCUUUGAAUGAAAGUGAAUCCAACUAAAUAUGUUAAUAAAUUUGGAUUUGGGUUCUCUCUUGAUAAUCUCCCAAGGUGACGGAUUGUGAUUUGUUAUGCAUCCCCAACAAGUGAUAUCGGUGUCGAUAGUUGAUUUGUGCCUUACUCACGAUAUGUAACAAGGUCUGGUGAUUAUCUCAAAAAAGAAUUUUGAUUCUCUAAUCAAGGCGACAGAUAAUGUCCACUGGCUUCUUGCUAAACUUGAUUGGGCCAAGACAAUUGAGGUAAAGUCCAAAGGCAUAUGGUGUGACUCAGCUCCAACAUUUGGGAAACUCGGUUGACUUAAGGUGGCGAUUUGAGUUAAAAUAACAUUGGUGAGAAAGGAAUACCUAAAUUAAAGGGGACAACAGGCCUCGCACAGGAGGCUCACAUGUGUGAAGAAGAUUUAAUGAAAUGCAUGUGUGAGGGUGUUAGGCACAAAUAGUCCCACAUCAGAGAUGUCUUUAGGGUGAAUCAUAUUAAUAUAUCCAAGUUGAGAUUUGUUUACAAGUUUGAACUUAAGCUCUUUUUUGGCAAUUUUCUCAAAAGUAGGUAUCAAGUUUGUGCUGCACGUUCCCAAAAAUCAAUAUUUCUAGAGCUUUAGAUUAAUCAUUUCAUCCACCUACUCAUAUACAACAACGCUGUAUCAAUUCCCACAAUUGACUCCGCGGGCAUUAAACUCGUCAAUCAUCGGAAUUCAUUAAGUGCAAAUUGCAGCGUGUUCGUCUACCUAAAUUUGUCUGAACAACGUGAAUUGAGACAAAAUGAAAAUGUCGUUGAGGCGGCUAUUCAAGCAUAUAGAUCCUAGUGGGAAAGAAUAUUCUAGUUAAAAGUCCACGACCUUUCAAAGUACUAGGCUGCUAUAUAAAAAAGAAUUGAAAUGGAAUACGAAGUUAGGCAAUUUUGACUUGUGCUUAUUGACACCAAAUUAAUUUUUUUCCCGAAGUUUAUUGACACCUCGUUGAUUAAUUGGAGGUAAUAUCAGUUUCUUGGUCAACUAAAGAUCUUCGAUUUCAACCAAAAAAAAAAAAAGAAAAAGAAAAAAAAUUUUGGACCGAAAAAAAAAAAAAAACUAAAGGAGUUUAAUUCAUCAAUACAUAAGCUUAUCGAACGGAACGUAUUGUGAUAUGGUCGAGAUGGCCAUUGCUAUGUACUUGAAGAAAGGGCUAAUGGAAUGAACUUGAGAGUGAAAUUUGGCGUAGAGAUCAUACUUAGCUUCUCUUUUACAGUGUGAAGAGACUUCAGAGGAUUGAAGUUCCUUCACUUGAAAAAUAGGAAUUGAGAGAGAGAAAUAGGAAUUGAGAGAGAGAGAGAGAGAGAGAAAGAGAGAGAGAGAGAUCUAAUCGUUGAGAGAGAUUAACUUUUUAAUUAGCAAAGAGAUUUACCUUCAAAACUCAUACGGCUUUAUUUAAUGUCGGUCCAUUUAAAGCUCUUGCCUCAUCCUAAUGAUGCAUUAUUUUGACACGAUAGUUCAUGUCUGACAUACAACUUUUUGUAAUUCAAUAAGGCUUCUGGCCUAUAUAGUUCCCGGGAGGAUCAUAGUUACAAGUGACCAAAGUACCACCAGUCGCGCAUUGGGCCUUUGCGCAUCCAACCCGAACCGAGUUGCGCCACACCACCUGAGUGUAAUGCCCGCAGACCUUCCCGGGCGCGCACGAGUUGGAAUUGUAGUUGUAGUCAGGCUUUUCCCCGACCCACAUGUUCACCGCUCUCGUGCCGGUGAGAUCAGGGGAAGCCCACGCGAGGUUCUCUCCAUAGGGUCCGCCCGAAUGGACCAGCCGCGUGCAAUCCCUGGCGUGCUUUUGGGCGUAAUCCCUGGCAUAGCUAGCCACUCGCUCGUCCCAAGUGAUCGGGCCUACACCGACCUGAGAGCGGGCUGCGUUGUGGGCGGCGACGUAGUCCCGGGGCAAGUCCUGGGCGACAGACAGAGAGAUCAGCGCCAGGGUUAGCGCGGCCAGGAAAAUGACAUGGAGAGGAACACUCAUACGGGAACUCAUAUUGCAAGAGACCAUAAAAGUAG